ACCUGGCUGGCUCAGUGGGUAGAGACUGUGACUCUUGAUCUCAUGGUUGUGAGUUCAAGCCCCAUGUUGGGCG
RNAcentral lists this transfer RNA (73 nucleotides) under Ailuropoda melanoleuca (giant panda). It matches the Rfam family "tRNA". From Rfam's summary of the family: Transfer RNA (tRNA) molecules are approximately 80 nucleotides in length. Their secondary structure includes four short double-helical elements and three loops (D, anti-codon, and T loops). Lineage: Eukaryota; Metazoa; Chordata; Mammalia; Carnivora; Ursidae. The record is from Rfam by way of RNAcentral.